Pygocentrus nattereri (red-bellied piranha) is the source of this 256-nucleotide long non-coding RNA. RefSeq lists it as uncharacterized. The transcript has 2 exons. The record is from RefSeq and is a predicted model, not a curated record. NCBI's taxonomy places the organism in Eukaryota, Metazoa, Chordata, Actinopteri, Characiformes, Serrasalmidae.
CUGCAGGUGAGUAUGAGCAGUGCAUGUUAGAACAGAGCUGUCUGAGCCACGUUGUGGUUUAUAAGUAGUUGUUCUCCUAGAGGCUGAGGACUAAAGGAGCCAUUGAAGUACACAAGCUUUCCUCGAACUAUGGUACCUUUAACCUCUCCAUGCAGCGUAACGCCAAGAUAUGGAGUCAACUGAAAAGACAAAGAGAGAGAUUUAAUGUCAUCUGCACUCCUUCUUCUUUAACAGAAUAAAUAAGUCACUCACUUUG